UACGGGAGGCAGCAGUGGGGAAUAUUGCACAAUGGGCGAAAGCCUGAUGCAGCUAUGCCGCGUGUAUGAAGAAGGCCUUAGGGUUGUAAAGUACUUUCAUCGGGGAGGAAAAAACAAAACUAAUAAUUUUAUUUCUUGACGUUACCCGAAAAAGAAGCACCGGCUAACUCCGUGCCAGCAGCCGCGGUAAUACGGAGGGUGCUAGCGUUAAUCAGAAUUACUGGGCGUAAAGAGCACGUAGGUGGUUUUUUUAAAGUCAGAUGUGAAAUCCCUGGGCUUAACCUGGAACUGCAUUUUGAAACUGAAAUACUAGAGUAUCGUAGAGGGAGGUAGAAUUCUAGGUGUAGCGGUGAAAUGCGUAGAUAUCUGGAGGAAUACCUGUGGCGAAAGCGGCCUCCUAAACGAAUACUGACACUGAGGGUGCGAAAGCGUGGGGAGCAAACGAGGGAUUAGAUACC
Molecule: ribosomal RNA, 458 nt
Filed under: uncultured bacterium
Lineage: Bacteria
Description: bacterial SSU rRNA
Rfam family: Bacterial small subunit ribosomal RNA
Source: RNAcentral